GACUAUUCCCUGGCUGCAGCCCUCACUCUUCAUGGUCACUGGGGCCUUGGACAAGUUGUUACUGAUUAUGUUCAUGGGGAUGCCUCGCAGAAAGCUGCCAAGGCAGGGCUUUUGGCAUUUUCAGCUUUAACCUUUGCUGGGCUUUGCUAUUUCAACUAUCACGAUGUGGGCAUCUGCAAAGCUGUUGCCAUGCUGUGGAAGCUCUGACCUUUUUGACUUCCUACUUUGAAGAAUUGAUGUAUGCCUCUUUGCCUCUGCUUUGUCAUGCCAUUAAGCUCACAAUAAGGAAGAAAUAACAGAUAAGCCCAUUGGUGGACAGCCUUCUUCUCUUAAUCACAAGAUUAUUUUCAGAAUUUAAUCUUUGAGGAAAAGGUUUGAGAGGAAUUAUAUCUAAGUUGUGAGACUGAGUUCUGUAUUCUGGUGAGUUAAUGGGGUUGCCUCCCAGCUUCUUAUAAGACUCACAAUAUAACUAAACAUGAUAUAUCAGCUUUUGCCUUUUAAUUUCUCAAUCUCUUAAAGAGAAUCCAGCUUUAUUAUGAUUAGUACAUGAUCAAAUUUCCAUAUUUGCCUUGGGAAUAAUGGACAAAGGGAAAUACUCUUAAUUCAUGAAUAAAAACUUUGCAGAAAAUUAGACAGUGUUUAAUUUUCAAAAACUUCCCUCUCUAGUCAGUAGAUACCACCUACUGAUGGUUACAUAUACUAGGGAAAUUUUAAAAUUAGGAAAUGCUGCUAUCUCAUAUUAUAAAUUUCUAAAUCCUAGGAAGAAACGCUUGGAGUGCUUCUGAAGAUACAGAAGUUCCAUUUAAGGGCAAGUUUCCCCAGAGACAUAUCAAAAUAUUAUCCAUUGUAAACUGAGAUUUAAUUCUCAAAUGUAUUCUACUUGUUCUAAAACAAUCUGUCCACAAAUAUAAAACUAUAAGUAAUAAAUUGUUAUUUCCGCACAAUGGGAAUCUCUAAUGUGAAAAUGUAUUCUAUGAAAAUAAUUUUUU
This 989-nucleotide long non-coding RNA is filed under the name Homo sapiens (human). RNAcentral's name for it is "non-protein coding lnc-SYF2-4:2". Lineage: Eukaryota; Metazoa; Chordata; Mammalia; Primates; Hominidae. The record is from RNAcentral.